GAUGAACGCUGGCGGCGUGCCUAAUACAUGCAAGUCGAGCGAACAGAUGAGGAGCUUGCUCCUCUGACGGUAGCGGCGGACGGGUGAGUAACACGUGGAUAACCUACCUAUAAGACUUGGAUAACUUCGGGAAACCGGAGCUAAUACCGGAUAAUAUAUUGAACCGCAUGGUUCAAUAGUGAAAGACGGUUUUGCUGUCACUUAUAGAUGGAUCCGCGCCGCAUUAGCUAGUUGGUAAGGUAACGGCUUACCAAGGCAACGAUGCGUAGCCGACCUGAGAGGGUGAUCGGCCACACUGGAACUGAGACACGGUCCAGACUCCUACGGGAGGCAGCAGUAGGGAAUCUUCCGCAAUGGGCGAAAGCUUGACGGAGCAACGCCGCGUGAGUGAUGAAGGUCUUCGGAUCGUAAAACUCUGUUAUUAGGGAAGAACAAAUGUGUAAGUAACUAUGCACGUCUUGACGGUACCUAAUCAGAAAGCCACGGCUAACUACGUG
This 497-nucleotide ribosomal RNA is filed under the name uncultured bacterium. RNAcentral describes it as "partial 16S ribosomal RNA". It matches the Rfam family "Bacterial small subunit ribosomal RNA", at positions 28 to 507 of the family's 1533-position model. The record is from RNAcentral.